UACCUGGUUGAUCCUGACACACGCGAGACAGAUUGUCUAAGUACAUGCCGAAAUAAGGCGAAACCGCGAAUGGCUCAUUAAAUCAGUUAUGGUUCCUUAGAUCGUUUCUUCCUACUUGGAUAACUGUGGCAAUUCUAGAGCUAAUACAUGCAGUGAGCCUGAAGCCCUUUGGGCGACGGGUGCUUUUAUUAGACCAAGAUCGAUCGGGUUUCGGCCCGUAUUGUGUGGUGACUCUGGAUAACUUUGUGCUGAUCGCAUGGCCACGAGCCGGCGACGUUUCUUUCAAGUGUCUGCCUUAUCAACUUUCGAUGGUAGGUUACUUGCUUACCAUGGUUGUUACGGGUAACGGAGAAUCAGGGUUCGAUUCCGGAGAGGGAGCCUGAGAAACGGCUACCACAUCCAAGGAAGGCAGCAGGCGCGCAAAUUACCCACUCCCGGCACGGGGAGGUAGUGACGAAAAAUAACAAUACGGGACUCUUUUGAGGCCCCGUAAUUGAAAUGAGUACACUCUAAAUCCUUUAACGAGGAUCAAUUGGAGGGCAAGUCUGGUGCCAGCAGCCGCGGUAAUUCCAGCUCCAAUAGCGUAUACUAAAGCUGCUGCGGUUAAAAAGCUCGUAGUUGGAUCUCAGUUCCAGACGAGUAGUGCAUCUACCCGAUGCGACGGCUCGGACUGAACAUCAUGCCGGUCCUUUCUUGGUGCACUUCAUUGUGUGCCUCGAGAAGGCCGGUGCUUUUACUUUGAAAAAAUUAGAGUGCUCAACGCAGGCGAGUCGCCUGAAUAAACUUGCAUGGAAUAAUAGAACAAGACCUCGUUUCUGUUCUGUUGGUUUUUGGAAUACGAGGUAAUGAUUAAGAGGGACAGACGGGGGCAUUCGUAUUGCGGCGCUAGAGGUGAAAUUCUUGGACCGUCGCAAGACGAACUACUGCGAAAGCAUUUGCCAAGAAUGUUUUCUUUGAUCAAGAACGAAAGUCAGAGGUUCGAAGGCGAUCAGAUACCGCCCUAGUUCUGACCAUAAACGAUGCCAACCAGCGAUCCGCCUGAGUUACUCAAAUGACUCGGCGGGCAGCUUCCGGGAAACCAAAGUGUUUGGGUUCCGGGGGAAGUAUGGUUGCAAAGCUGAAACUUAAAGGAAUUGACGGAAGGGCACCACCAGGAGUGGAGCCUGCGGCUUAAUUUGACUCAACACGGGAAAACUUACCCGGCCCGGACACUGGGAGGAUUGACAGAUUGAGAGCUCUUUCUUGAUUCGGUGGAUGGUGGUGCAUGGCCGUUCUUAGUUGGUGGAGCGAUUUGUCUGGUUAAUUCCGAUAACGAACGAGACUCUAGCCUAUUAAAUAGGUGCGGGGUUCCCAGCACCUUACAACCUUCUUAGAGGGACAAGCGGCUCCUAGCCGCACGAAACAGAGCAAUAACAGGUCUGUGAUGCCCUUAGAUGUCCGGGGCCGCACGCGCGCUACACUGAAGGAAGCAGCGUGUCUUUAUCCCUGUCUGAAAGGACUGGGUAACCCGUGGAACUUCUUUCGUGAUUGGGAUAGGGGCUUGCAAUUGUUCCCCUUGAACGAGGAAUUCCCAGUAAGCGCGAGUCAUAAGCUCGCGUUGAUUACGUCCCUGCCCUUUGUACACACCGCCCGUCGCUACUACCGAUUGAAUGAUUUAGUGAGGUCUUCGGACCGAUGUCCGGCGCGGCCUUUCGGUUGCGCCGGUCUGUUGGAAAGAUGACCAAACUUGAUCAUUUAGAGGAAGUAAAAGUCGUAACAAGGUUUCCGUAGGUGAACCUGCGGAAGGAUCAUUA
RNAcentral lists this ribosomal RNA (1793 nucleotides) under Dermacentor andersoni. Its description in RNAcentral is "small subunit ribosomal RNA". It matches the Rfam family "Eukaryotic small subunit ribosomal RNA". Lineage: Eukaryota; Metazoa; Arthropoda; Arachnida; Ixodida; Ixodidae. The record is from RNAcentral.